UACGUAGGGGGCGAGCGUUGUCCGAAUUUACUGGGCGUAAAGCGCGCGUAGGCGGACCUUUAAGUCAGAGGUGAAAUUCCGAGGCUCAACCUCGGAACUGCCUUUGAAACUGGGGGUCUUGAGGUAUGGAGAGGGAAGUGGAAUUCCUGGUGUAGCGGUGAAAUGCGUAGAUAUCAGGAGGAACACCCGUGGCGAAGGCGGCUUCCUGGUCAUAUCCUGACGCUGAGGUGCGAAAGCCAGGGGAG
RNAcentral lists this ribosomal RNA (245 nucleotides) under uncultured bacterium. RNAcentral describes it as "partial 16S ribosomal RNA". It matches the Rfam family "Bacterial small subunit ribosomal RNA", at positions 524 to 768 of the family's 1533-position model. The record is from RNAcentral.